GUAGGUGGCAAGCGUUGUCCGGAAUUAUUGGGCGUAAAGCGCGCGCAGGCGGUUCGUUUAAGUCUGAUGUGAAAGCCCACGGGCUCAACCGUGAGGGUCAUUGGAAACUGGAGAACUUGAGUACAGAAGAGGAAAGCGGAAUUCCACGUGUAGCGGUGAAAUGCGUAGAGAUGUGGAGGAACACCAGUGGCGAAGGCGGCUUUCUGGUCUGUAACUGACGCUGAGGCGCGAAAGCGUGGGGAGCAAACAGGAUUAGAUACCCUGGUAGUCCACGCCGUAAACGAUGAGUGCUAGUGUUAGGGGGGUUUCCGCCCCUUAGUGCUGCAGCUAACGCAUUAAGCACUCCGCCUGGGGAGUACGGCCGCAAGGCUGA
RNAcentral lists this ribosomal RNA (373 nucleotides) under uncultured organism. RNAcentral's name for it is "partial 16S ribosomal RNA". It matches the Rfam family "Bacterial small subunit ribosomal RNA", at positions 527 to 897 of the family's 1533-position model. The record is from RNAcentral.